Molecule: ribosomal RNA, 1131 nt
Filed under: Triticum aestivum (bread wheat)
Lineage: Eukaryota; Viridiplantae; Streptophyta; Magnoliopsida; Poales; Poaceae
Description: partial small subunit ribosomal RNA
Source: RNAcentral
CUGAAAGGAGAGGUGGACUGCUCUAAGUUGAUGGAACUUCUUACUGCAACUUUCUGCAAGACUAGGCAUUGGCCAUGGCAGAUCAGAGGGUUAUCAAACAAGACCUUUUUGGUCAGAUUCCCUCCAUGGAAGAAAGUUGAGUCCCUCAUUGAGCUGCCUGGUUUUUCUCUUCCACAUGAUGUUAAUGUCACACUGACUGAAUGGAAAGGUGCCUGUGAACCUUUCGGUGAGUUGAUUGAAGCCUGGGUCCUAAUUGAAGGGAUUCCUCCCAAACGGUGCACAUGGAAAGUGUUUUCUCAAAUUGACUCACUUUUUGGGAUUCUUACAGAUGUGGAUUGGAAUGGUAUGUUUAGGACUUUCUUUGAGAAUGUUAGGGUGAAAAUUGCCUGUAGAGAUCCCACUAAGAUACCUUUUGAGAGGUUGAUUGAGAUGAAGAAAAAGCUCUUCUUAUUAGGUUUUACUAUUGAGGGAUUUGAUCAAGUGGGUGGAGUUGACUCUGUCAUUGAUGUUGAUGAGGCUGAUGAUGGUGAUGAGGAUGUUGAAGGAGCUGAGGAAGACCAAGUAGAGGAAGAAAGGGAGACCCAUGGAGAAUAUGCAUCUAAUGGAUCAGCAGAUGGGGGACUGGCCAUUGAUGAGGUAGACAAAGCUAACUUCCCAACCAAGCAUGGGUCUACUAGCAAGCAAAAGGGACAUAGUUUGGUGACCUCACCUGUGGAGCAGUAUCUUGAUUCUGAUCAGGAAAAUUUUAUUAUGGAUUGUGCAAUGACUGAGGUGAAACAUGAUGCCCCAUCUUCUGAUGGAAAUGAGGGUAUGACUGAACAUAGAGACAAGCCACUGGAACAAUGCAAUGAUGAUGAUGUAGCUGAGAUAGUGGAUGAUAUAGUGAUUGGAGAAAAUAUGGCUAAAAAAACUCAUGUUCCUUCUGGAAAGAAUGACACUAUGUUUAUGCCUGGGGAGAGAUCUGGUAAUAUGGAGUAUUGUGAGGACUUGCUUAGGUCUGUGGAUCUGUCUGAUUCUGAAAAUGAGGAGCACAAUGAAGAGGAGCUGGGGGUUCUCCCUCCUGAGGCCAUACAUAUCUUGCAGAGUGACACCCUGAAGAGAUCCUUACUGGAAUCACUUAACCAAGCUUAG